This 153-nucleotide small nuclear RNA is filed under the name Tupaia belangeri (northern tree shrew). Its description in RNAcentral is "U4 spliceosomal RNA (ENSTBEG00000020143.1)". The stretch from base 1 to 81 matches the Rfam family "U4 spliceosomal RNA". From Rfam's summary of the family: U4 small nuclear RNA (U4 snRNA) is a component of the major U2-dependent spliceosome. The structure of U4 snRNA from yeast and human has been reported. Lineage: Eukaryota; Metazoa; Chordata; Mammalia; Scandentia; Tupaiidae. The record is from RNAcentral.
AGCUUUGCGUGGUGUCGCUAUCAUAGCCAAUGAGGUUUAUCCGAGGCAUGAUUAUUGCUAAUUGAAACUUUAGAAAAAAAGAAGGCUUGGAGACUAUCUGGAGUGACGAAGCCAGAGGUGAACUCUGAAGCCACUAACCAGGCAGAGCAAGUG